ACCUACGGGGGGCAGCAGUGGGGAAUAUUGCGCAAUGGGGGAAACCCUGACGCAGCGACGCCGCGUGCGGGAUGAAGGCCUUCGGGUUGUAAACCGCUUUCAGCAGGGACGAAGCGUGAGUGACGGUACCUGCAGAAGAAGCGCCGGCUAACUACGUGCCAGCAGCCGCGGUAACACGUAGGGCGCGAGCGUUGUCCGGAAUUAUUGGGCGUAAAGAGCUCGUAGGCGGCCUGUUGCGUCCGCUGUGAAAGCCCGGGGCUUAACCCCGGGUCGGCAGUGGAUACGGGCAGGCUAGAGGUAGGUAGGGGAGAAUGGAAUUCCCGGUGUAGCGGUGAAAUGCGCAGAUAUCGGGAGGAACACCGGUGGCGAAGGCGGUUCUCUGGGCCUUACCUGACGCUGAGGAGCGAAAGCGUGGGGAGCGAACAGGAUUAGAUACCCCGGU
RNAcentral lists this ribosomal RNA (442 nucleotides) under uncultured bacterium. RNAcentral's name for it is "bacterial SSU rRNA". It matches the Rfam family "Bacterial small subunit ribosomal RNA", at positions 337 to 791 of the family's 1533-position model. The record is from RNAcentral.